GAGGGUACAGCUCAGUGGUAGAGUGUGUGCUUAGCAUGCACGAGGUCCUGGGUUCAGUCCCCAGUACCUCCA
Molecule: transfer RNA, 72 nt
Filed under: Camelus bactrianus (Bactrian camel)
Lineage: Eukaryota; Metazoa; Chordata; Mammalia; Artiodactyla; Camelidae
Also listed under: 2 other names
Rfam family: tRNA
About the family: Transfer RNA (tRNA) molecules are approximately 80 nucleotides in length. Their secondary structure includes four short double-helical elements and three loops (D, anti-codon, and T loops). Further hydrogen bonds mediate the characteristic L-shaped molecular structure. tRNAs have two regions of fundamental functional importance: the anti-codon, which is responsible for specific mRNA codon recognition, and the 3' end, to which the tRNAs corresponding amino acid is attached (by aminoacyl-tRNA synthetases). tRNAs cope with the degeneracy of the genetic code in two manners: having more than one tRNA (with a specific anti-codon) for a particular amino acid; and 'wobble' base-pairing, i.e. permitting non-standard base-pairing at the 3rd anti-codon position.
Source: Rfam by way of RNAcentral